Molecule: long non-coding RNA, 3524 nt
Organism: Oncorhynchus keta (chum salmon)
Lineage: Eukaryota; Metazoa; Chordata; Actinopteri; Salmoniformes; Salmonidae
Exons: 3
Source: RefSeq, a predicted model, not a curated record
UAAAUGAAAUUAAUAUGCUAAAUCUCAAGCUUAGCCUUUUGUUAACAAUACUGUCAUCUCAGAUUUUCAAAAAUAUGCUUCUCAAGCAUAGCAAACUAGCAUUUGUGUAACAGUACUGAUAACUAGCGUAGCAUUUAGCAUUAGCAUCAGCAGGAAACAUUUUCACAAAAACCAGCAAAAACAUUCAAAUAAAUCUUUCACAUUUGAAGAACUUCGGAUGUUUCAAAUGAGGAGACUCAGUUAGAUAGCAAUGUUCAGUUUUUCCUGAAAGAUUUUUUGUGCAGGAGAAAUCGGUCCGUUUGGUGGCGUCACGUUUGGCUACCAAAAAAAUAUGAAAAUUCAGUUAUCCAAAUGCCAAACUUUUUUCCAAAUUAACUCCAUAAUAUCGACUGAAACAUGGCAAACGUUGUUUAGAACCAAUCCUCAAGGUGUUUUUCACAUAUCUCUUCAAUGAUGCACACUUCCAGGAACGAUACUUCGCUGUCUGUAUCGCAUGGUAAUAGUUUUGCCGCUGAGAGUUACGCACCAACGUGGACAAAGGACACCGGACGGGACCCUGGCAAAUGUAGUCUCUUUAUGGCCAAUCUUCCAAUGAUAUGCCUACAAAUACGUCACAAUGCUGCAGACAUCUUGGAGGAACGGCAGAGCGCAUAAGCUCAUUCACAGCAUAUUCACAGCCGUAUAAGGAGCGAAUGGGAAACAGAGCCUCAAAAACCCUGCUCAUUUCCUGGUUGAAGUUGCAUCUUGGUUUCGCCUGUAAGAUCAGUUCCGGGGCACCCAAAGAUAAUAUCUUUGCAGCUUUGAAAACGUCAGAGUGUUUUCUUUCCAAAGCUGGCAAUUAUAUGCAUAGUCGAGCAUCUUUUAGUGACCAAAUAUUGCGCUUAAAACGGGCACGUUUUUUUAAUCCAAUAAUGAAAUAGCACCCCCCUAGCUUCAACUGGUUAAGAGGCCAACGUGCGGGCACCCUGACGAAACUACUACUAUUGUAUCAACGGGACCCGGAGAAAUAGAAUAUCCCAUGUUCCUCGGAGUCGCGGCUGAACAAGGACAAUAUACAUCUAGCUGUUUCUUAUACAUCUUCAAGACCGUAUGACAGCGUCAAGAAAGGGGGCAGGGGUGUGUCUUUGUUAACAACUGGUGCUCGAUCUCUAAUAUUAAAGGGAGGCUCAAUGUUCUACUCGCCUGAGAUCAAUACCUCAUGACAAGCUGUAGACCAUACUAUUAACCAAGAGAGUUUAUGUAUACUUUUCUUAGCAGUCUAUUUAAAAAUCAGUCAGAGUCCACAACAAUGGGAUCACAGCACCAUCAAAUGUAGCUUAGCCCAGAUAACACACUGUGUUCCAAAUGCAAAUUCCUUAUAAUAGUGCACUACUUUUGGACCAGGAACCAUAGGGUAAAAAAAGUAGUACACUAUAUAGGGAAAAUGGCACCAUUUGGGAUGCUUCCCAUAUCAGAUUCGCUGCCAAAGGAUCACACUUAAGCCCAGAUAUCCACCAUCUAUCUCACUGUCCUUUAUCAGAAGCUCAAUCAAAUCACAGAACACAGAUGAGUUGGGUUGAGAUUGCAUCACCUGUGUGUGGGUCCAAAACCAAAAGAUGAGAUUCCUUUCAUUUCUAUUGUCCCAGACCACUGCUCUGCUAGGCUUUAGACCCACAAUCAUGCAAGUGCCAGAUAACCAUGAUGACCUUUUACCUCGCCCUUGUUUUAAGUCACCUUUUUUCCUCUGUCUGUCUGUGUAUUUCAAAUGCAUGUAGUUACUACAGCAUACUUGCUGUAUGAUGCCGACCUAGUGAGUGAUUGGCGGGGAUGACAGUAAAAUCCAUCAUACAACAAUAGAUAUGUGCUGGUCAGGUUAGAGGUCGAAAGAGUUCCCAUGGGGAUUAUGACAAACCUAUUUGUAGUAGAUACAAAAACAAAAAUGGAUUCUCUCUCUCUCUCUCGCUUAAUGCUUCCAGUGUGUUCUCGUCUAGCAGGAAAUCACAUGCUAUUUGUCAUUCACCAUGUUUUACUGCAAAUCCAUUUAUCGGCCCAAUAAUAAAUAUCGGGCUACGGGGGCUGCUGUAAACAUGUUUAAGUAUGUAGCUAGCUAUGUAGCUAAAUAGGUUGUGUUUCAUGAACGUUACAGGGCCAAGCCCAUUUCUAGAGCUAGCUAGGGGAGGGGGAUUUCAGAGUGUACUCUCCCUCAGCAACGCACAGCCUUGAGCUCUGUACCCUUUAUAUGGCUGAGAGUUGAAAUCCAGUCGUGGGACUUUGAAAUGGGCACCUGGCUCUCACGCCAGGGAGGCAGCCCAGUUCCAAUACGAAUGCAAUCCAUUUUCACCCGGUGCAAAACACGUCUACCCGGACCAGGUUAAUCGAAUCCCCUCACUGUCAAAGCGACUGCAGGGAUAGCUAGAGAGGCGUGGCUACUUCCAUUCCAUGUCAAGCUACACAAGUGUCUUCACUCACACCAACCAACCAUGGCUCUCAAUCUGACCUGAAUAAUGUGUUUGGGAAAUAUGGCAUGUGUUGAUGCAAGGAUAUGAAGACCCCCACAUUCCCUGGCUGGACUAGUACAGACCCAAGACAGAUGAUAGCAGAAAGCAAUUUACAUUUUGUAACAGAGGUAAAAUAUUAUCAGAGAAAGGAAAAGUAUACAGCAACCCAAACCACUUCCUUAUACCUUGACUACAGACACAAUACCAUUUGUGAGAGAGGUUAGAGAGGCUUAGAUAGGCUAUAUGGCAAACCCAUUCCCUGAGGAGUCCUUAGCCCAAGCACUUCACUAUUACCAAUCAAGUAGCUAUAGGAAAUUCUCAUUCUAUAAUCCUCUCGCCAUAAUUCUAAUGAAUUGCUCCAGAUUUUAGGUUGAGCCACUCGACUCCAAGUCCAGUCCUUUCCUAUUAGUAUCUGGGCCAGUAUUCAGAGUAGAAGUGCUGAUCUAGGAUCAGGUCCCUCCCUGUCUAAAUAAUCAUAUUCAUUAUGAUAUGAAAGGCAAAACUGAUCAGCACUGCACUUCUACUCUGAGACUCUUUGUGAGUAUAGGCCUGGAAGAAAACCAAGUGAUUAAGAUCAUUAAAAUAAAAAAAUCCCAGGCCUCCUGAGUCUUUGGCUACAUCCCAAAUGGCACCCUAUUCCCUACAAAGUAGGGGCCCUGGUCAAAGUAGUGCACUACAUAGGGAAUAGGGUCUAUGGGCCUUGGUCAAAAGUAGUGCACUACAUAGGGAAUACGGUGCCAUUUAGGAUGUACACUUUGCUUCUAUAGAGGUCACAGUUCAUGUUACCCUUUUGUGAUUUUGCUGGUGUUUUCCUGGGGGGGAGGAGCCUGUCUUUCUUUGUUGAACUGGACUUGCCAGGCGAGGUCUUCCUAUAUGAAACCCACUCCGAGGGGGGCUGAAACCACGGUUGUCAAGUACUGGUUGUACAAGAGCAGAACAGAGCAGAGUAGGGGUGUAUUCAUUAGGCACCCAACGGAAGAAAAGGUACUGAAUCACAGAGGGAUGGAGGGGCUACCUGAACUUACCUAAUAAAAAACACUCAUUUUG